RNAcentral lists this ribosomal RNA (393 nucleotides) under uncultured bacterium. RNAcentral describes it as "bacterial SSU rRNA". It matches the Rfam family "Bacterial small subunit ribosomal RNA", at positions 28 to 422 of the family's 1533-position model. The record is from RNAcentral.
AUUGAACGCUGGCGGCGUGCUUAACACAUGCAAGUCGAGCGGUAAGGCCCUUUCGGGGGUACACGAGCGGCGAACGGGUGAGUAACACGUGGGUGACCUGCCCUCAGCUCUGGGAUAAGCCUGGGAAACUGGGUCUAAUACCGGAUAUGACUCCAUGACGCAUGUUGUGGGGUGGAAAGCCUUGUGCGGCUGAGGAUGGGCCCGCGGCCUAUCAGCUUGUUGGUGGGGNGAUGGCCUACCAAGGCGACGACGGGUAGCCGGCCUGAGAGGGCGACCGGCCACACUGGGACUGAGACACGGCCCAGACUCCUACGGGAGGCAGCAGUGGGGAAUCUUGCGCAAUGGGCGAAAGCCUGACGCAGCGACGCCGCGUGAGGGAUGACGGCCUGGUGU